UACGGAAGGCAGCAGUGGGGAAUAUUGGACAAUGGGCGGAAGCCUGAUCCAGCCAUGCCGCGUGUGUGAAGAAGGCCUUUUGGUUGUAAAGCACUUUAAGCGAGGAGGAGGCUCUCCUAGUUAACACCUAGGAAGAGUGGACGUUACUCGCAGAAUAAGCACCGGCUAACUCUGUGCCAGCAGCCGCGGUAAUACAGAGGGUGCGAGCGUUAAUCGGAUUUACUGGGCGUAAAGCGUGCGUAGGCGGCUGAUUAAGUCGGAUGUGAAAUCCCUGAGCUUAACUUAGGAAUUGCAUUCGAUACUGGUCAGCUAGAGUAUGGGAGAGGAUGGUAGAAAUUCCAGGUGUAGCGGUGAAAUGCGUAGAGAUCUGGAGGAAUACCGAUGGGCGAAGGGCAGCCAUCUGGCCUAAUACUGACGCUGAGGUACGAAAGGCAUGGGGAAGGCAAACAGGAUUAAGAAUAACC
RNAcentral lists this ribosomal RNA (464 nucleotides) under uncultured bacterium. Its description in RNAcentral is "bacterial SSU rRNA". It matches the Rfam family "Bacterial small subunit ribosomal RNA", at positions 340 to 787 of the family's 1533-position model. The record is from RNAcentral.